This 360-nucleotide unclassified non-coding RNA is filed under the name soil metagenome. Its description in RNAcentral is "partial contains 5.8S ribosomal RNA, internal transcribed spacer 2, and large subunit ribosomal RNA". The stretch from base 1 to 120 matches the Rfam family "5.8S ribosomal RNA", at positions 35 to 154 of the family's 154-position model. The record is from RNAcentral.
GAUGAAGAACGUAGCGAAAUGCGACAAGUAAUGUGAAUUGCAGAAUUCCGUGAAUCAUCGAAUCUUUGAACGCACAUUGCGCCCGCCAGUAUUCUGGCGGGCAUGCCUGUCCGAGCGUCAUUUCAACCCUCGGGCCCCCCUCUGCGGGCGGCCCGGCGUUGGGGCUCAGGCGCCGUCUCUGCUCGGCGCCUGUCCCCUAAAUGCAGUGGCGGCCUCGCCGCUGCCUCCUCCGCGUAGUAGCACAAACCUCGCGGCUGGAAGGCGGCGCGGUCACGCCGUAAAACCCCCCAACUUUACCAAGGUUGACCUCGGAUCAGGUAGGAAUACCCGCUGAACUUAAGCAUAUCAAUAAGCGGAGGA